This 347-nucleotide unclassified non-coding RNA is filed under the name soil metagenome. RNAcentral describes it as "partial contains 5.8S ribosomal RNA, internal transcribed spacer 2, and large subunit ribosomal RNA". The stretch from base 1 to 120 matches the Rfam family "5.8S ribosomal RNA", at positions 35 to 154 of the family's 154-position model. The record is from RNAcentral.
GAUGAAGAACGUAGUGAAAUGCGAUAAUUAAUGUGAAUUGCGGAAUUCAGUGAAUCAUCGAGUCUUUGAACGCACAUUGCGCCCCCUGGUAUUCCGGGGGGCAUGCCUGUCCGAGCGUCAUUGCUGCCCUCAAGCACGGCUUGUGUGUUGGGCUUCCGUCCCUGGCAACGGGGACGGGCCCAAAAGGCAGUGGCGGCACCAUGUCUGGUCCUCGAGCGUAUGGGGCUUUGUCACCCGCUCCCGUAGGUCCAGCUGGCAGCUAGCCUCGCAACCAAUCUUUUUAACCAGGUUGACCUCGGAUCAGGUAGGGAUACCCGCUGAACUUAAGCAUAUCAAUAAGCGGAGGA